GCCCCCCUAGCUCAGUCGGUAGAGCGUUUCCAUGGUAAGGAAAAGGUCACCGGUUCGAUUCCGGUGGGGGGCUCGA
This 76-nucleotide transfer RNA is filed under the name Candidatus Planktophila lacus. RNAcentral describes it as "tRNA-Thr". It matches the Rfam family "tRNA". From Rfam's summary of the family: Transfer RNA (tRNA) molecules are approximately 80 nucleotides in length. Their secondary structure includes four short double-helical elements and three loops (D, anti-codon, and T loops). RNAcentral also lists the same sequence under 2 other names. The record is from RNAcentral. Lineage: Bacteria; Bacillati; Actinomycetota; Actinomycetes; Candidatus Nanopelagicales; Candidatus Nanopelagicaceae.